CGGAGGUGCAAGCGUUAAUCGGAAUAACUGGGCGUAAAGCGCACGCAGGCGGUUUGCUAAGCUAGAUGUGAAAGCCCCGGGCUCAACCUGGGAACUGCAUUUAGAACUGGCGAACUAGAGUCUUGUAGAGGGGGUAGAAUUCCAGGUGUAGCGGUGAAAUGCGUAGAGACUCUGGAGGAAUACCGGUGGCGAAGGCGGCCCCCUGGACGAGAGACUGACGCUCAGGUGCGAAAGCGUGGGGAGCAAACAGGAUU
RNAcentral lists this ribosomal RNA (254 nucleotides) under uncultured bacterium. RNAcentral describes it as "partial 16S ribosomal RNA". It matches the Rfam family "Bacterial small subunit ribosomal RNA", at positions 527 to 779 of the family's 1533-position model. The record is from RNAcentral.